GAUGAAGAACGUAGCGAAAUGCGAUAAGUAGUGUGAAUUGCAGAAUUCAGUGAAUCAUCGAAUCUUUGAACGCACAUUGCGCCCCUUGGUAUUCCAUGGGGCAUGCCUGUUCGAGCGUCAUUUGUACCUUCAAGCUUUGCUUGGUGUUGGGUGUUUGUCUCGCCUUUGCGUGUAGACUCGCCUUAAAAUAUUGGCAGCCGGCGUAUUGAUUUCGGAGCGCAGUACAUCUCGCGCUUUGCACUCAUAACGACAGCGUCCAAAAGUACAUUUUACACUCUUGACCUCGGAUCAGGUAGGGAUACCCGCUGAACUUAAGCAUAUCAAUAAGCGGAGGA
RNAcentral lists this unclassified non-coding RNA (335 nucleotides) under soil metagenome. RNAcentral describes it as "partial contains 5.8S ribosomal RNA, internal transcribed spacer 2, and large subunit ribosomal RNA". The stretch from base 1 to 120 matches the Rfam family "5.8S ribosomal RNA", at positions 35 to 154 of the family's 154-position model. The record is from RNAcentral.